This is an RNA transcript of Pseudophryne corroboree (corroboree frog), 3823 nucleotides long. It is a transcript of the gene named sushi domain containing 1, with no coding region annotated. The record is from RefSeq and is a predicted model, not a curated record. Lineage: Eukaryota; Metazoa; Chordata; Amphibia; Anura; Myobatrachidae. The transcript has 26 exons.
GAGUGUUAAAAGAGUUUGUGAUAACAUGACACUAAGCACUUUACAGCUGGCACUCCUGGAGGCUUCUCUGUUACUCCUGGGCUGUGCCCAAGGGCAUACUGCUGCACUGUCAAGUAAUUUAUGCAAAGAAUGCCAUGCAAAUGCCACAUGUACAGAAACAAACAAUAAACUCUCCUGCAUAUGUAAUUUAGGAUUUAUUGGGAAUGGAAGGACACAUUGUUUAGAUAAAGAUGAAUGUCAGGUGGGAUCACACAAGGUUUGUGGAGAACACACAGCCUGCAGCAAUACACAUGGGAGCUACUACUGCACCUGUCUGAAAGGGUACCGACCGUCCAACAACAAUGAUGACUUUAUACCAAAUGAUGGCACUUUUUGUAAAGAUAUUGAUGAGUGUGAAAUAUCUGAUAUCUGUGGUUCUAAUGGGAAAUGUACAAAUAUUCCUGGAAGUUAUGAAUGCUACUGUAAUGAGGGAUACAGGCUACUAAAUGGUACUGAACCAUUCCAGGCAAACGGUGCACAUUCUUUGUGCAAAGAGGUUGAUUGUGGACAACCUCCGGCAGGUCCCCAUUCUAAGAUGGUCCUAGCAGGCAAAACAACCUUUGGCAAUCAUGUAACUUAUAUGUGUGAGCCUGGAUUCCUUCCUGAUCAUGGCAGCAACAUGUCUGUAUGCACAACUAAAGGAACAUGGGAAGGUGCUACCAUGGUCUGCAAAGAUAUUGAUGAGUGUGUGGUACCUGAAACCUGUGGUGCUCAUGGGCGGUGUAAGAAUUUCCCUGGAAGCUAUGAAUGUUACUGUAAGGAGGGUUAUAAGCUGCAAAAUGGCACUGGACAAUUUCAAAUACAGCAUGCUGAUUCUUCAUGCCACGCUGUUGACUGUGGUCAGCCACCAUCUCUCCCCUACUCUGAGAUGAUCUUAUCAGGCAACACUACGUUUGGCAGCCAAGUGAUUUACAAAUGUAUUGCUGGUUUCUUUGUAAAAGAUGGGCAUAACACAUCUGUCUGCACAGCUAAUGGGACAUGGGAUGGUGCAUCUACUGUAUGUGCAGCCAUAGACUGUGGACUGCCACCACUUCCGGCAAAUUCACACACGGAUUCCAUAAUUGCCACCACAUUUGGAAGUAAGGUGACAUACAGAUGUGAUGAUGGAUUCACUAUGGACAAAGAUCACUAUAUAUCUAUUUGCUCAGAUGCAGGUACAUGGACUGAAGUAGUAAUAGUUUGUAAAGCUGUUGACUGUGGACCACCUCUGGCCAUGCCAUUUGCUGAAAUCCACUCAUUUCAAAACACGACUUUUGGAAGCGUUGUGAUAUUUACAUGUUCAAAAGGAUUCAUUGCAGUGAGUGGUUCCAAUACCUCAAUCUGCACUGCAUCUGGAUGCUGGGUAGGAGCUAAUCUGGAGUGUAAAGUUGCAGACUGUGGACCUCCACCUUCUAUCCAGUAUACUGUCCCGGGUGUGCUGCAGAACACUACAUAUGGAAGCCAGAUUACUUUUGAAUGUUUACCUGGCUAUGUCAUGGACAGGGGGAACAAAGUUGCCACCUGUAAUGAGGAUGGAGAAUGGAUAGGAGCUAAUCUUGUAUGUAGAGAGGUUGACUGCGGAACACCUUUAAUCAUUGAACAUACUGAUUGGCUGUGGAAUAAUCAAAGUGCCUUGGGAAGCUAUGUCUUUUAUAAGUGUAAGCAAGGAUUCAAGGAUAAUGGUGGAAAGAAAUUCUCUCAGUGCCUUGAAAAUGCUACUUGGGAAGGACUAAAUCUGACCUGCACAGUAAAAGAAGAUAUUAUAAGCACGCAACUUAUUUUCAAUGAAACAUGUCUGAAAUGGAAGAAAAGUAGUGACAUAUUCGGUUGGGAGAUCUUGUAUGAGUUCAGUUUAUUUGGAGUAAGGUGGCAUGACAAAGACUUUGUUGACAAGAAAACUUUCAACUAUAUUACAGACAAUGAAUAUCCGACUGUGUGUUUGGAACUUCUUCCAGAUACAAACUACACUGUGACAAUGACAGUGACAGUGGUUUCAUCCAAGCUUCUUGCCAUACGGCUAAAUAUAACGGUACAAACAACGAUGAAACAAAUGUUUGGUAACAUUGUAGUAUUCAAUGAAACAUGUUUGACGUGGAUAAGAAGUUUUUCCCCAGUUAGAUCACUGGAAGUCUAUAGAGUGUUUAUUCACGGAAGUACCUCGUCCCUGAAUGGAUUACUUGAGAACAUAAUGUUUAAUUUCAGUACAGACAAGGUUACUCCAGUCCUCUGUUUAGAGUUGCCUUCUGCAGCUGAAUACAUGAUAAAUAUUACAGAGUCAUCCACAGAACUUUCUGCACAUGUGAAUUUAAACAUGACAACUUAUGAAAGGGACAAAUCCAGAAACCAGCAGACAUUCAAUAAAACUUGUUUGUGGGGGAAUACAAUUUUAGAUGGUGUAAGAGAGAUAUACAGACUAUAUGUGCAAGGAGGAAAAUGGUCUCCAGAGGAAAUAUUUCAGGAUCUGCAGUCUAGCAUCAAUAUAGCCCAAAAUAUAAGUGCACUAUGCAUAGACAUACCCAUGGAUGCUCAGCACCACAUACAUGUGACCGGGGCCCUGUCUAGCCUUAGAGGAGGAGAACCCAUUCAAAAUGUGACUGUGUUCAAUGAGACUUGUUUGGUUUGGAGAAGGCCUUCCAGUUUCAAAGAGCUUUAUGUGUUUUUCGUUCAUGGGUAUAGACGUUAUCAAAAGGAAUUCAUGCACCGACUGAUGCUUAAUGUCACCACAGAUGAGGAACAUCCUAUUGUAUGCUUAGAAUUGCAAAAAGGAACUAACUAUACUGUCGAAUUUGUGUCAACAUUUUACCCACAAUUCCCUGCCCAAGUCAUUAUCGUUACCCCGAUCUCAGAAUCUUCACUCCCUAACUUUAAAACAAUCAGAGCAGCACACAAUCAGUUGCUAAAAUUUAGUUUUCAGCGAAUGGAUAAGAAUGGACCCAUCAGUUCCUACCAGGUGUUUGUGAUUCAACUGACCUCUUGGUGCUCCUUUACCUGUGAGUCUUUGGAGGCUUUCACAUACUUCAAUAAAACAUCAAAGACUCAAGGAUAUGUCACUGCCGAGUUUUUUCCUGGAGAUGUUUCCAACCAUACAGAAUUCUCAGUUGGGGACAGACAAUACUAUGGAGACUUUUAUAAUGCUCCAUUAGAACGAGGGAAGGACUAUUGCAUUAUACUACAGACUAUCACCAAGAUGAGAACAAAGACAUGCAUGGUUAUGGCAGAAGUUGAAGAGCUACCAACCAGUAGACAUCAUAUGACUGUGGUUUUUUUAGGAUCAAUUGCCUUUGUGUGCUUCAUAGUACUCACAUCCUACUCAAUGACCAGGUGCUGUAGCAGAUAGUAGGAGUAAAGAAGUUUGAGCAGAACCUGCAUCACCUGAUUUGGUGAUACUAGGAAGAACGAUGUGACAAAGUAUUAAUUCCUAGUGUGCCAUUUCAGUAUUAUUUCAACCAUCAAUAUAUGAAAUUCUAACUAAGAAACAGGCAAUAUGCUGAAAAAAUACAAUUGAACAGAUUCAUGGAGAUGGAAGAAACUCAAGACUCAUCACAUAGAUAGUGGUUACAGUUUACUAUAGGGUUUAAUGUUGACUGCAAGAACUUUCAUUGUUUUAUUUAUGUAUUACUGAGAUCAGUAUCUGUCAGUGAGAAAAUGGUUUAAAGCAUGAAAAAUAUGUUGCAGUUUGAUAUAAGCCUUUUUAUAGUAUUAGACUCAAAAUUGCACUUGCAAUAAUUUAUGAAAAUCCUACUUUCUCAUACUGUGGGUUUUUUUGUGAAAUAAGUGUUCUGUUGUAUUUAUUAUUUGUUUUAAU